CACGCCCUUCAGCCGUGAGGAGCCCGCCGGGCCCUUGGGCCACUCCCGGCCUGAAACUAAUCUCUGGGCGCGGAAGGGAGGGAGGCUCUUUCCAGAAGCUGCAGCGGCAUCGCAUUGACUCAGCUUCGCCGGCUUCCUGGGUCUGCUUGGUGCACACUCCCGCGCGUGAGCGUGUCCCGCUCCGGCACUCGGCAGCGCACACCCGCG
This 207-nucleotide long non-coding RNA is filed under the name Fukomys damarensis (Damara mole-rat). RNAcentral describes it as "lncRNA (ENSFDAG00000024858.1)". The record is from RNAcentral. Lineage: Eukaryota; Metazoa; Chordata; Mammalia; Rodentia; Bathyergidae.